GAGGCGGGACCAAGGUGGCAGAGAAGCCCGGAGUUGGGUAAACAGGACGACCAGCCUCUCACCCGGUUCUGCACAGUGUCCUCGGGAGCCGCCGCGAGUCGCGUCCGCCGCCGGAGGCAGAGCGGUGGGGCAGGAGGCGGGGAGGACUGGUUUCUCCGCGCCGGAACUCCCGCCAUGACAGAGGACAGCUUUUCUAUCGUGUCACUCCGCGUAUAACCUCCGGCCGCUAAGGCAGCCAUCAUGCUGUCGGAGACCAGCGUCCGUUACGCUUCUUAACAGCCGCCUGUAGCCAGCACCCACUCGAAUAGCGAAUGGCCGCGGGAAAGCCGGCGCCGCCGCCCAUUGGACGCAGCCGGCACCCCGGCUGGCCAAUCACAAAGCUUCCGGACACACAGCUUUUAACUUUGAUGGAGCUAAGACCUCAUCCUGUCUUUUGCCACAGUCCCGGGAAGUUAUUCAAGCUGUACCAGUCUCACGGAUAUAGGGAACCAAGAACCAGGAACACCAAGAAGCCCGAGGCACUACCAUUUCCUCCUGGACAGGAAGUUUCCCCUUAGCCCCUGGAGCCCAGCCACACAGCCUCUGGCUCAGUAUAUUUCGCGGUGCUGGGACCUCUAUCUCUGGGGAGACCCUGAGGCAGCAGCCGCCAUUGUCCUUCCUACUUGCUUCCACAGUGCCAGGGCUUGGAGCCCCUGACCAGCACCAAGCUACUCUUGGGGUGCCGAAACAGCAAGUUCACAGGUUCAGAGACACCAAGAGCAGCACCGGGCACAGCUGUGAGCUUUGGAACAGCUGGUGUGGCAGCUGCACUGGGAGAGCCUGCUGGCCUGUGCACACAAGCGUCCAUUGUACUGUCUGAGAACCUCUGGGACUGGCAACCAGGACACUGGCUCCACCUGCAGGGUCUCUGCUUUAAACCAGGGUCCAGUGUUAAAGAGCCUUCAGUAUCUGUGGGGGUGUAGGAGUGGGCUUGCAGCAGAGGGCUUGCCUAUAAGAGCCAAACCACCCCCCUUCCCCGAGUUCCAUCCAGCACCCGCCAACCACAAUAGGCCUGUAAUCCUACCAAGAGGAAGGCAGGGGCAAGAGAAUGACAGCAAGUUCAAGGCUAGCUUAGGCUAUUUGCAACCGUGUCACAACCGAGCAGGCCUGCUGACACCUGCUGUGGGUGACACAGCCUCCAACC
Molecule: non-coding RNA, 1183 nt
Organism: Mus caroli (Ryukyu mouse)
Lineage: Eukaryota; Metazoa; Chordata; Mammalia; Rodentia; Muridae
Source: RefSeq, a predicted model, not a curated record